RNAcentral lists this ribosomal RNA (293 nucleotides) under Ceraleptus gracilicornis. Its description in RNAcentral is "partial large subunit ribosomal RNA". It matches the Rfam family "Eukaryotic large subunit ribosomal RNA", at positions 1787 to 2078 of the family's 3401-position model. The record is from RNAcentral. Lineage: Eukaryota; Metazoa; Arthropoda; Insecta; Hemiptera; Coreidae.
GGAUCUUCCCCUCGGACCUUGAAAAUCCGGGCGAGGGCCACGAGGAACACCGCGCCGGCUCGUACCCAUAUCCGCAGCAGGUCUCCAAGGUGAAUAGCCUCUAGUCGAUAGAAUAAUGUAGGUAAGGGAAGUCGGCAAACCCGAUCUGUAACUUCGGGAUAAGGAUUGGCUCUGAGGAUCGUGGCGCGCCGGGCUUGGUCGGGAAGUGGAGCGGUGCCAACGUGCCGGGCCUGGGCGAGGUGAAGGGCGCUCGUCGCCUGGACCCUAGCUCGGUCCCGUGCCUUGGCCACCCA